Molecule: long non-coding RNA, 673 nt
Organism: Acanthopagrus latus (yellowfin seabream)
Lineage: Eukaryota; Metazoa; Chordata; Actinopteri; Spariformes; Sparidae
Exons: 3
Source: RefSeq, a predicted model, not a curated record
CUUAAUUCUCUCCGCUGGCUUAAAACCCCAGCCUCCAUACGCUACCUGUGGCUAAAAGAAUCAAGUGUUUAAAGAGCACAUUCCACUUUGUGUCUAUGACCUUGGGCCGUUCAAUGUAGAACUGGCAAUAAAACAACAAAGAUUCAUUCAUGCAACCAAGAGCCAAACGAUAGAGCUACGAUAAUGUGCUGGCAGUGAAUGGGACAUCAGCUUUGCAAACUGGCAGGCCGACUUUUCACACAAUACAAUGAGUCCUGUUUAGACCGUGAAACAAACCUCCUCUGACAGCCCGAGGCCACUGGGACGUGAACAGCGCUGUCUCUCACUACAUGGGAUCCUGUGUCCUCUCCACCUUCUCAAUAAUUCAAUGGAAAGAGGAGACGUCAGCUCUGGUAUAAUUACCGUGUGAGGGUGACAAGCUCCUCUGUCAAGGGCAAGAGCUUUACAGUAGUAAAGGGAGCGAAGAGACACAGAAAAACAGCGUGUGCCGUGACACUGUCGGUGACAAAAGCUUCAGCUACCGGGAGCUGAUGAAACUACAGAUUGCAGCCCAGAGGAAAGAUAUUCAGCAGCCGGGGAACUCGAGCGAAGACAGGUGAUUCACUUCUAAUGGAUGUUAAUGCUGUGGACACGACUGAGGAUAUUCCCGGUGGUGUUCACUUACAGCUAAUUG